Molecule: non-coding RNA, 89 nt
Organism: Cadophora malorum
Lineage: Eukaryota; Fungi; Ascomycota; Leotiomycetes; Helotiales; Ploettnerulaceae
Source: the annotation of a GenBank genome assembly
CGCCCAUUGGUGUAGCGGUCAGCACGUCACACUUUGAUGCCCGUCCACCAAGUCUUCUGAAGUCGCCAGUUCGAAUCUGGCAGGGGCGU